This 318-nucleotide ribosomal RNA is filed under the name uncultured eukaryote. RNAcentral's name for it is "partial 18S ribosomal RNA". It matches the Rfam family "Eukaryotic small subunit ribosomal RNA", at positions 1470 to 1796 of the family's 1831-position model. The record is from RNAcentral.
CCCUUAGAUGUCCUGGGCCGCACGCGUGCUACACUGAUGCAUACAGCAAGUAUUUUCCAGCUCCGCGAGGCUGCUGGUAAUCAUGAAUAUGCAUCGUGCUGGGGAUAGAUCUUUGGAAUUAUAGAUCUUGAACGAGGAAUUCCUAGUAGGCGCAAGUCAUUAGCUUGCGUCGAUUAAGUCCCUGCCCUUUGUACACACCGCCCGUCGCUCCUACCGAUUUCGAGUGAUUCGGUGAACCUUUUGGACAGCAUCCAGUCUCGUGCUGGGAGUUGAAAGUCAAGUAAACCAUNUNACUUAGNGGAAGGAGAANUCGUANCA